UCGAGGCCAUGGAAUGGACAUAGACGAAAAGACCAUUCAAGGACUCCGCAAGGCUAGUCGGCAAGAUUAUAGCAGAGGUAGAGAGGCGAGGCAGGGGUGAGGACAUCAUCCAGCUAUUUCGGCAAUCCCUGAAGGACAAUACAGAAGAGACACACAUGGGACUCAAGACCACAGCAGCGAUCCUGCUCUUGCCCUGCCUCUUCAAUGAGGACCCGAGUGGCCUUUAUGUCCAUGACAAGAUUUCAUCGCUCCCCACUCCUUUACUGCACAUCGGCGGAGAUCCAUUUCACCAUGAGAGUGAAAUCACGCUGGCCUUUUAUGGGAAGAACAUCCACACGCUAGAGGACGUCCCCAUGGGACUCUGGGCUCUGCUAGGGCUGUAUUUUUUUAUUUUCAGUUACAUUACCCCCCAAAAAUGAAGAAAAAGACUUAUGUUCUUAAGUUACUUUUACUAGGGCCGGUCAUUGUCACACCCUGACCAUAGAGAGCCCUUGGUUCACUAUGGUGUUGAGGUCAGAGCGUGACUAGAGGGGUGUUCUAGUUUUCAUAUUUCUAUGUUGGUGUGCUUGGUAUGGUUCCCAAUUAGAGGCAGCUGGUAAUCGUUGCCUCUAAUUGGGGAUCAUAUUUAGGUAGCCUUUUUCCCCAUCUGUGUUUUGUGGGAUAUUGUUUGUGUGU
Molecule: long non-coding RNA, 675 nt
Organism: Oncorhynchus nerka (sockeye salmon)
Lineage: Eukaryota; Metazoa; Chordata; Actinopteri; Salmoniformes; Salmonidae
Exons: 3
Source: RefSeq, a predicted model, not a curated record